RNAcentral lists this long non-coding RNA (472 nucleotides) under Amborella trichopoda. RNAcentral describes it as "long non-coding RNA (ATRI_LNC003967)". Lineage: Eukaryota; Viridiplantae; Streptophyta; Magnoliopsida; Amborellales; Amborellaceae. The record is from RNAcentral.
UCAGGGUUGUAGUUGUAAGGUUUCUUUUUAUGGCGUGAUGGUACUUUUUUCAAGGUUGACUAGUGUUAGGCUUAUUCUGCAGUGUUCCUUUGGUCUGGCGGUGCCUUGAGUGCCAGCAGGACUACGUUGUCAAUAGCUCUCUUCUUAUUUGCGCCAGGGAUUUAGGUACGUCAAACUGACAUACAACAGUAGUAUUCAAGAUGCGAGGAGAGAGAUAAUCGUCUCCUACGAUUCAUUUGAGACCCGUUCCCUUUGAAGACUAGACUCAACGGAUAAUAAGUCCUUGUUUAAUAGGUAUAAGGGUCGAUAUGCCCUAAGCAUUAUCUUUUCCCCUUUAACAUUCUGUAUUUUCUUCUUUAGAAACUGUUGUAUAGAUUUCAAAGUUAGAAUCAAAGGCAUUUGACUUAUUUUAAGUUUUCAAAUUCGAUUAUAUGUAACAGAGGAUUAAACCUCUAGAAUUGCUCAGUACCCA